Non-coding RNA from Meleagris gallopavo (turkey), 3917 nucleotides. The record is from RefSeq and is a predicted model, not a curated record. NCBI's taxonomy places the organism in Eukaryota, Metazoa, Chordata, Aves, Galliformes, Phasianidae.
AAUAACAGCUGGACUCUUUAGGGGGGGGGGAACCUGCACGGUGCCAGGCGGUGUCAGUGCUGCCUCUGCUCCCACUGUCAGCCCUGCACGUCCCAGUGUAAAAGCCUUCCUGCCCCCAGCAAGCCAGCUUCAUAACGAGAGCAUCUGCAAGCACCUGGAGAUGCCACUGAGUGAGAGCCAAGAGAUGAAACUCCCCUUCCAGGGCCUUUUGCCUCGUGCUGCACCAGCACCGCUCCGCCGUGUGGCAUUCCUGCCAUCUCAGUCCCACCUCUGACGUCCAGGUGGAAGAAUGCUUUUCAGCUCCAGCUGCAGGUGCUCUCUUAGCACUUGCCUGCGACUUUUCGACCUUCCUCCCCCGCUGCUGCCGUUUGGGGCUGAGCAUAAAGCCGUGGCUGUGAAACCGCGGCGUUCUGACGUGGGAGAAUCUCUGUUCUGCCCUCCCCAGCCGUGCUGGGGUCAGAGCACGGCCCUGCAGUUGCAUCUUUCCCUGUGCAAAGCUGGAAGAGACGAAGGCACCGAGCGUUGGUCCAUCAGAACAGCAGCGUUGAUCCGUGCCGCUCUCUUUCAUUGAUACAUUGUGCGCUUCUCUGGUGGGGAACCACUUUGGGCACAACGUCUUCAACAACUGAAGCUCUUUAAUUCUUCCACCUCCUAUUAACAGAGCUCUUUCAGCCCUAAAUGUGUCCCGGGAAGCUACAGAAAGCUGUUUGCAGGUGGAGUAAGGCGGCAGGCAAAGCUUUCCCUCAACUUCAAGUGGAUCAGUUCCUUCCAGGGAAGGCAGCAGAGGGUGUGCAGAGCAUCCCUGUGAUCGGCCACGUGUGUCUGUGGGAUGCAUGGAGGUGAGAUGUAGAGGGGGGGGGACGCUUUGGAGCUGUGCUGGAUCUGUUUUUUCCAUGGGGCAAAGCUGUGUUCAACGCUGCUGAUGUGCACUGAGGUGCUUCAGUCCGUGUAAUUGGAGUGGCUGUGUCCGAGCUGUGCUUUUUAGGAGCCAUCCCUGUGUACCAAUGACAUCAGGGCUCCUCUUGUUUGGGUGUAAGGAGACUGAUAAGGGCUUUUGCUGUGUGUUCCUGAUCCAAGUGGAGCUCUUUGGAGACGAGAAGGCUCUGCCCAGCGAACUGAGCUGCACUGUGUGGAGCUGGAGGUGGAUGCUGCACUCAGCCCGGAUGGUGCUUAGGACCCCAGGUUGUCCUGUGGGCUGCAGUGGGGAUCCCACACCUUCCUGCCCCGCGUGGCUCCUGCAGGAUGGAGCCUGCAGAGAGAAACAAGCAGGAGAAAUACGUACAUAGAAACAAAUCUCAGAAAGGUGCCAGGCGACAGCUGCACAUCCCAGGAUUGGAGUGUGCCUGAGAAUAAAACCAUCGGUUGCUGUCAUUCACCCUCUGGGUAUGAAAUUGGAAGCCCAGUUACCCUUGAGUGUUUCAUAACCUUUACCUUUUGGAGGUCAAGGCCGUGUCAUCAUUAAUCUACCGUCGCCUGAAUGCCCCGGGGCUCUGCUUUUCAUCCCCCCCAUCCGUCAUGCUGCUGUGGGAUGCAGGAGGGUGAGCAGAAGGGCCCACGCUGUCCUCUCUGCAAGGAUGGGAGCGCAGAGGACGUCCUCGUGGAGCCUCGUGGCUCUCCGUCCCCAUUUGUGAUGAGGACUCUCUGGGCUUCACCUGAAGAUUCAGAACCGUUUCCUCCCCGGGAUGCUUUAAUCUGUUGAGGAAGAGGUGCUGUGGCCUCGAGGAGUGGAAGUUGGAUACAUGGAGCACCUCGUGCAUGUUGUUCCCCUCCCCAGAGCCAGGCUUCGUUGCUCCUCACACCUCCAAUGAGCCUCAUCUCGAAGCACACACGUGGAGCUGCUGCUGCUCAUCCACGUGCCUGCAGCCUGUGGGCAGUGGGGACCCAGUGAGAGGGUUUCCCCUCUGCUGAAAUUUGGGUGUUGGAGAAGAUUGGAGCUGAGCAUCUCCACGAAUCCCACUCCACCUCUGCUGGGACGCUGCUGGCAGCUCCAGCUCCCGUUGCAGGUAUCCAGCUGUGCUCCCUGCCCGGCGAUCUGCUCCAUCCACAGGGCAGCAGCGAGUGCCAGAGCUGCUCCCUGUGCCAUGGUAACCAUUAAUUAAUGCCUUUUGGCUUUAAGUCUUCCAGCAGCAGGGGCUGUGAUUCUCCCAGGAGAGAAGCGAGCCCAUUUUCAAGCAUUUCUUUCCAGCUUUUUGGGAACAAGGAGUGUAAGGACGAGCACUGACCCUGGGUUUAGCAGUGCUAAGGUCCAUCCUGGAGCUCUGCAGCCCCCACUGCCCCAUCUCUGCGCUCACCGGUUCCAGCUUGGGGGUCUGCAAUGAGACCCGGGGCUCAGGAUGGACACAGCCCUGAGCACAGCACAAAUAUUUGGGUUCUCCCUUCCUUCCUCUUCACCAGGGCUCAGCAGAGCCGUUCGCUUUGUCCUUGGCUCAAGCUCUCCUCCUCUUCCUCCCCCCCCCGCCCUCUUUUUUUAGACAAACUACAAAAUAACUGAGUGCAGAGGGACCGAGCCGAGGAAUAGAGAGGUUAGAAAAUAAAUCUGACACCCUGCCAGAAAGGUCAGCUUUCCCCACAGAUGCUGGUGCACCCAUUUGCACGCCGGAGCACGGCCUGGGGGCACUGCCAGGGGUUGAUAGAUACGGAGAUAGCAGCGUUUUGAUAGAGGUAAUUUUCCUCGGCUGGGUUUCAGCACCCCAUGAAUCAAAACCUGUCAGCGAGAAGCCAGAGAUGGAGUGAAGUUUAUUGUACGUGUGUUUGCAUCUGACACUGUUGUGCUAUGGGGUCAAGUGAGCCGGAUCAUUAGGGCCGUGUUGAUUUAGGACGAUGGUUGCACACUGCUUUCCCUGCGGGGCAGUGCUGGAAGCAGGGGGGGAUGUGGUGGGCUUCCCAAAAAGAAAAAAAAAGAAAGAAACCCCACACUGUCCAGCAGCCCCGUUAAAGCUGCAGCCCUUGGGUUGCCCUCCGUCUGUGGUGGGAAUGGCUUUUGGGAGCUGAUUUUGGUCCCGUGUGGCUGUGGAUGAGUGGGGAGGGUGCUGGGAUUGGGAGCAGGCUCUUCUUUGUAAAGAUUCUAUUUAGAAAUGGUGCCCUUGUGGGUUUCGUUCUGCCACGGCAUCACCUGCAGCAGUGGGAUGCGGCCGGGGGGGGGGCUGAGAGCUGCGAAGUGCCCUUAAUGAUAGGGGAAAUUGUAGCAGUGCUGCAAAGCAAUUAGGCAGCCUGGAGAAAUGGGCUGAAAGAGGCACGAAAACAGCCGGAGCCAGGAAUAAAUCCACAGAAAAUGGAUGCUCUGAGGCUUUUACAGGCGAUGAUGGCUUUGGCUAUUAGCUGUGAUCAGGACAUCAGCGUGGAUGAUGGCAGCAGAGGUAAAAAAAGCCUCCGGUUUUUGCUGGAGAAUGCUGAGAAACGGAGAGCUGAGGGCUCUGGGAAAUGUCUGCAGGGGUUUGCUGGAAAUUCAGUGUGUCUUAGGGGGUGGCCUUUCCUGCUCCAGCUCCUGGUGAUGGGUGAGGGGAGGGGGAAGUGGUUUGCCACCAAACGAACCCCCAGGGCUUUGUCCCCGGGAUUAAAUCUACUCCAUUCUCCGUGCCAGAGUGAAGAAGAUGAGAAACUGAAGAAGAGGAAGGAGCGGUUUGGCAUCGUGACGAGUUCAGCCGGGGCUGGAGCCACAGAGGACACAGAGGCAAAGAAGAGGAAAAGAGCAGAGCGCUUCGGGAUCGUCUGAUGCUGGCCCCUUCCAGCUGCACCCUUUGCAGGGUGCAUCCUGAGAGCCUGAAUCCUUCCCUCCUCCCCACUUCCUCUCACCUCUGUUCCUCGGGUUUUAGCGUUGAGUAGGUAGGGAACCCCCCAUAGUUGUAUGAUUGUGUUACUUAACUCUUUCAACUUACUAAGUUUAAAAAACAAAACAAAAACAAAACAAAAAAAACCAA